AAAGUCGUAACAAGGUUUCCGUAGGUGAACCUGCGGAAGGAUCAUUAACAAAUCAGUUGUGUAAAAAGGAGGGUUGAUAAGACUAUUGGUUUUAUCAUUCUCUUUAUAAACACACAUUCACGCUUGUAUUGUUUGACAGAGUAAAAUUUAUAUUUAAAUCAGAGACAACUUUUAACAAUGGAUCUCUUGGCUCUU
Molecule: unclassified non-coding RNA, 195 nt
Filed under: Basidiomycota sp.
Lineage: Eukaryota; Fungi; Basidiomycota
Description: partial contains small subunit ribosomal RNA, internal transcribed spacer 1, and 5.8S ribosomal RNA
Rfam family: Eukaryotic small subunit ribosomal RNA (bases 1-47)
Source: RNAcentral